This 804-nucleotide long non-coding RNA is filed under the name Olea europaea (common olive). RNAcentral describes it as "long non-coding RNA (OEUR_LNC007786)". Lineage: Eukaryota; Viridiplantae; Streptophyta; Magnoliopsida; Lamiales; Oleaceae. The record is from RNAcentral.
AUCAAAUCAUAUUAUAUAGUAACAAGAUAAUUAUGCCAACUGUGUUUGCUUAUAAACCGAGCUGGAUAUUACAGUUGCAUUCUAAGCAUCAUUCCACGUGUUGGUUUGUCGAGAUUGACCAUCCAUAUAAAAAGUAAUAUCUUUUUCGAGGAUCUUACAAGGAUCAAUUGUUUUCAAACUUUGAUUAACUUGAUCUAUAUGAAGCCAAGGUGAGUAACUAUACACAAAUAUUAGACAAACUAGACAAUCCCUCCCAUUUCAAAUUCAAAUAGAAUUCAAAAUACGAAGAUGCAUUUGGUUGGUGUAAGGGGUUUGUCCUCAUAUUUCAUUAUUCAAUAUGGACUUCACUAGUUUUGUCAAGCACUAUUUGUUUAAUUUCAAAUUAAUAAUAUAUACAUUUGAAUUUGGAGACUUGCUUAUGGUAAUGGGUUAUGGCCCACAACUUAAGAAACUCUCAUGUGAAUGCUUUGACAAAUUUACCCUUAAGUUCUCCACCGAUUCCUUUGAGUCGAGCCUCUCAGUCUGUCAAACAAAAACAACAUAAUGACUGAGUCCAAAAUAUCGAAUUAUUAAUUAAAAAUAAAUAUAUAUUAAUAAUAUUUUUGUUGCCUUCCUCCAAUCCAAUUGUCAAUACCUAAAAGGUUCCAAUUCACCACGAACAAAAAUAGAAAAUCUCUUCUUCCUCUGUGCCUCACCGGGCAUAAGAAGAAAAAGAAGAAGAUCAAAUUGGUUCUUCACAUACAUCUAAAUUGCAUAUCUAACAUGUCAUUUAACGUAUUUCUCUUGUAUAGAAGACACCAUAGG